Molecule: long non-coding RNA, 884 nt
Organism: Andrographis paniculata
Lineage: Eukaryota; Viridiplantae; Streptophyta; Magnoliopsida; Lamiales; Acanthaceae
Exons: 3
Source: RefSeq, a predicted model, not a curated record
UAAAAGCCCAAGGUAAAAAGAAGAAUGGGCCUGGCAAUAGGGUUGAUUGAACUGGCUGAAGGACACCGUGAGGAAAUCAAGGAAAAUAAAUUUAUUUAUUUAUUUCUAAGGAAAAUACAGGACGGAAAGACCUCAGGACGGAAGGUUCUUAGGUCGGUAGGUCCUCAGGACGGAAAGACCUCAGGUCGGAAGGUCCGCAAGACGGAAAGACCUCAAGUCGGAAGGUCUUCAGGUCGGGAGGUCCGCAAGACGGAAAGACCUCAAGUCGGAAGGUCUUCAGGUCGGGAGGUCCGCAAGAUGGAAAGACCUCAAGUCGGAAGGUCUUCAGGUCGGGAGGUCCGCAAGACGGAAAGACCUCAAGUCGGAAGGUCUUCAGGUCGGGAGGUCCGCAAGACGGAAAGACGAUGAGUCGGAAGGUUUUCAAGUCGGGAGGUCCUCGAGACGGAAAGUCGUCGAGAUGGGAUAUCCGCAGGUCGGGUAAACUGUAGGUCGGAUAGAAGGAGGAGUCGGACAAACGCGGAGGCCUUUGAUCAAAGACAGGGGGCGGUUGAUAUGGAGGUCGGCCCAAGUGGGGUCGGGCGAAGAAGUAGGUCGGACGAAGGACGAAGUCGGGCCAAAAGAGCGGAAGGUCUGUGGUCGGCUCAAGGAGUGAAAUAUAGGGAAUUUUGGUCUGCUGGGGACACGUGUCAGCAUGAGAAAGGUUGGAAGACGGUUGAGAAGGAGAUGUUGUAACCGUUCGGGUGACGGUUUUCAGUACGGUUUCCCAGGGAAUAUUUAAGGAUUUGGAUCAUCAUUUGGCAAGGUAUCUUCAAUCAACUUCAACAAAGCAAAGUCAGAUUUGGGGAUCACCACUUUAAAUUUCAGUCUUUUAUUUUCCAGUUUAU